GUACUUGGUGUUACUGCGAAGGGGGGACGGAGAAGGCUAUGUUGGCCGGGCGACGGUUGUCCCGGUUUAAGCGUGUAGGUGUGUGUUCCAGGUAAAUCCGGUUCACUUUAACACUGAGGCGUGACGACGAGGCACUACGGUGCUGAAGCAACAAAUGCCCUGCUUCCAGGAAAAGCCUCUAAGCAUCAGGUAACAUCAAAUCGUACCCCAAACCGACACAGGUGGUCAGGUAGAGAAUACCAAGGCGCUUGA
RNAcentral lists this ribosomal RNA (252 nucleotides) under Salmonella enterica subsp. enterica serovar Paratyphi B. RNAcentral describes it as "partial 23S ribosomal RNA". It matches the Rfam family "Bacterial large subunit ribosomal RNA", at positions 1441 to 1693 of the family's 2925-position model. Lineage: Bacteria; Pseudomonadati; Pseudomonadota; Gammaproteobacteria; Enterobacterales; Enterobacteriaceae. The record is from RNAcentral.